CCCUUAGAUGUCCUGGGCCGCACGCGCGCUACACUGACAUGUUCAACAAGCCUCCUAGUUCGACAGGAUUUGGGAAAUUUUUGAACGCAUGUCGUGAUAGGGAUAGAUCAUUGCAAUUAUUGAUCUUGAACGAGGAAUUCCUAGUAAACGCGAGUCAUCAGCUCGCAUUGAUUACGUCCCUGCCCUUUGUACACACCGCCCGUCGCACCUACCGAUUGAAUGUUUCGGUGAAGAUUCCGGAUAGGACUUUUUUGAUUUAUUUCAAUUUUGUCUUAAAAGCUAUCUAAACCUCAACAUUUAGAGGAAGGUGAAGUCGUAACA
This 321-nucleotide ribosomal RNA is filed under the name uncultured eukaryote. Its description in RNAcentral is "partial 18S ribosomal RNA". It matches the Rfam family "Eukaryotic small subunit ribosomal RNA", at positions 1470 to 1796 of the family's 1831-position model. The record is from RNAcentral.